Molecule: ribosomal RNA, 468 nt
Filed under: uncultured bacterium
Lineage: Bacteria
Description: partial 16S ribosomal RNA
Rfam family: Bacterial small subunit ribosomal RNA
Source: RNAcentral
GACGAACGCUGGCGGCGUGCUUAACACAUGCAAGUCGAACGGAAAGGCCCUGCUUUUGUUGGGUGCUCGAGUGGCGAACGGGUGAGUAACACGUGAGUAACCUGCCCUUGACUUUGGGAUAACUUCAGGAAACUGGGGCUAAUACCGGAGAGGAGCUCCUGCUGCAUGGUGUGGGUUGGAAAGUUUCGGCGGUUGUGGAUGGACUCGCGGCUUAUCAGCUUGUUGGUGGGGUAGUGGCGUACCAAGGCUUUGACGGGUAGGCGGCCUGGGAGGGUGGACGGGCACCAUGGGCCUGAGGUACGGCGCAGACUACUACGGGAGGCAGCAGUGGGGAAUAUUGCACAAUGGGGGGAAGCCUGAUGCAGCAACGCCGCGUGCGGGAUGACGGCCUUCGGGUUGUAAACCGCUGUCGCCUGUGACGAAGCGUGAGUGACGGUAAUGGGUAAAGAAGCACCGGCUAACUACGUG